RNAcentral lists this unclassified non-coding RNA (341 nucleotides) under soil metagenome. RNAcentral describes it as "partial contains 5.8S ribosomal RNA, internal transcribed spacer 2, and large subunit ribosomal RNA". The stretch from base 1 to 120 matches the Rfam family "5.8S ribosomal RNA", at positions 35 to 154 of the family's 154-position model. The record is from RNAcentral.
GAUGAAGAACGUAGCGAAAUGCGAUAAGUAGUGUGAAUUGCAGAAUUCAGUGAAUCAUCGAAUCUUUGAACGCACAUUGCGCCCCUCGGUAUUCCGUGGGGCACGCCUGUUCGAGCGUCAUUUACACCCUCAAGCGCAGCUUGGUGUUGGGCGUCUGUCCCGCUCUCCGUAGCGCGGACUCGCCUCAAAGUCAUUGGCGGCGGUCGUGCCGGCUCCUCGCGCAGCACAUUUGCGCUUCUCGGAGGCCCGGCGGAUCGGCAUCCAGCAAGCUACUUUUUAUGACUUGACCUCGGAUCAGGUGAGGAUACCCGCUGAACUUAAGCAUAUCAAUAAGCGGAAGA